GUAACGGCGAGUGAAGCGGCAACAGCUCAAAUUUGAAAUCUGGCUCUCGGGCCCGAGUUGUAAUUUGUAGAGGAUGCUUUUGGUGAGGUGCCUUCCGAGUUCCCUGGAACGGGACGCCAUAGAGGGUGAGAGCCCCGUCUGGUUGGACACCGAUCCUCUGUAAAGCUCCUUCGACGAGUCGAGUAGUUUGGGAAUGCUGCUCUAAAUGGGAGGUAUAUGUCUUCUAAAGCUAAAUACCGGCCAGAGACCGAUAGCGCACAAGUAGAGUGAUCGAAAGAUGAAAAGAACUUUGAAAAGAGAGUUAAAAAGUACGUGAAAUUGUUGAAAGGGAAGCGCUUGUGACCAGACUUGGGCUUGGUUGAUCAUCCGGGGUUCUCCCCGGUGCACUCUUCCGGCUCAGGCCAGCAUCAGUUCGCCCUGGGGGAUAAAGGCUUCGGGAAUGUGGCUCUCUCCGGGGAGUGUUAUAGCCCGCUGCGUAAUACCCUGUGGCGGACUGAGGUUCGCGCAUUCGCAAGGAUGCUGGCGUAAUGGUCAUCAGUGACCCGUCUUGAAACACGGACCAAGGAGUCGUCUUCGUAUGCGAGUGUUCGGGUGUCAAACCCCUACGCGAAAUGAAAGUGAACGCAGGUGAGAGCUUCGGCGCAUCAUCGACCGAUCCUGAUGUUAUCGGAUGGAUUUGAGUAAGAGCAUACGGGGCCGGACCCGAAAGAAGGUGAACUAUGCCUGUGUAGGGUGAAGCCAGAGGAAACUCUGGUGGAGGCUCGCAGCGGUUCUGACGUGCAAAUCGAUCGUCAAACAUGGGCAUGGGGGCGAAAGACUAAUCGAACCUUCUAGUAGCUGGUUUCCGCCGAAGUUUCCCUCAGGAUAGCAGUGUUGAACUCAGUUUUAUGAGGUAAAGCGAAUGAUUAGGGACUCGGGGGCGCUAUUUAGCCUUCAUCCAUUCUCAAACUUUAAAUAUGUAAGAAGCCCUUGUUGCUUAAUUGAACGUGGGCAUUCG
Molecule: ribosomal RNA, 997 nt
Filed under: Fusarium falciforme
Lineage: Eukaryota; Fungi; Ascomycota; Sordariomycetes; Hypocreales; Nectriaceae
Description: partial large subunit ribosomal RNA
Rfam family: Eukaryotic large subunit ribosomal RNA
Source: RNAcentral